UUUGACGAAGGGAAUACGGUUCCAAUUCCGUAACCUGUUGAGUAUCCGUUUGUUAUUAAAUAUGGGCCUCGUGCUCAUCCUGGCAACAGGAACGACCAUAAAGAAGCCGUCGAGAGAUAUCGGAAGAGUUUUCUUUUCUGUUUUAUAGCCGUACUACCAUGGAAGUCUUUCGCAGAGAGAUAUGGUAGAUGGGCUAGAAGAGCAUGACAUAUACUGUUGUGUCGAUAUUUUCUCCUCGGACCUUGAAAAUUUAUGGUGGGGACACGCAAACUUCUCAACAGGCCGUACCAAUAUCCGCAGCUGGUCUCCAAGGUGAAGAGUCUCUAGUCGAUAGAAUAAUGUAGGUAAGGGAAGUCGGCAAAUUAGAUCCGUAACUUCGGGAUAAGGAUUGGCUCUGAAGAUUGAGAUAGUCGGGCUUGAUUGGGAAACAAUAACAUGGUUUAUGUGCUCGUUCUGGGUAAAUAGAGUUUCUAGCAUUUAUGUUAGUUACUUGUUCCCCGGAUAGUUUAGUUACGUAGCCAAUUGUGGAACUUUCUUGCUAAAAUUUUUAAGAAUACUAUUUGGGUUAAACCAAUUAGUUCUUAUCAAUUAUAACGAUUAUCAAUUAACAAUCAAUUCAGAACUGGCACGGACUUGGGGAAUCCGACUGUCUAAUUAAAACAAAGCAUUGUGAUGGCCCUAGCGGGUGUUGACACAAUGUGAUUUCUGCCCAGUGCUCUGAAUGUCAAAGUGAAGAAAUUCAAGUAAGCGCGGGUCAACGGCGGGAGUAACUAUGACUCUCUAAGGUAGCCAAAUGCCUCGUCAUCUAAUUAGUGACGCGCAUGAAUGGAUUAACGAGAUUCCUACUGUCCCUAUCUACUAUCUAGCGAAACCACAGCCAAGGGAACGGGCUUGGAAUAAUUAGCGGGGAAAGAAGACCCUUUUGAGCUUGACUCUAAUCUGGCAGUGUAAGGAGACAUAAGAGGUGUAGAAUAAGUGGGAGAUAUUAGACCUCGGUUUGGUAUCGUCAAUGAAAUACCACUACUCUUAUUGUUUCCUUACUUACUUGAUUAAAUGGAACGUGUAUCAUUUCCUAGCCAUUAUACGGAUAUAUUUAUUAUAUCUUAUGGUAUUGGGUUUUGAUGCAAGCUUCUUGAUCAAAGUAUCACGAGUUUGUUAUAUAAUCGCAAACAAAUUCUUUAAUAAAACGAUGCAUUUAUGUAUUUUUGAUUUGAAAAUUUGGUAUAACUCCAAUUACUCAGGUAUGAUCCAAUUCAAGGACAUUGCCAGGUAGGGAGUUUGACUGGGGCGGUACAUCUCUCAAAUAAUAACGGAGGUGUCCCAAGGCCAGCUCAGUGCGGACAGAAACCACACAUAGAGCAAAAGGGCAAAUGCUGACUUGAUCUCGGUGUUCAGUACACACAGGGACAGCAAAAGCUCGGCCUAUCGAUCCUUUUGGUUUAAAGAGUUUUUAACAAGAGGUGUCAGAAAAGUUACCAUAGGGAUAACUGGCUUGUGGCGGCCAAGCGUUCAUAGCGACGUCGCUUUUUGAUCCUUCGAUGUCGGCUCUUCCUAUCAUUGUGAAGCAAAAUUAAACAAGCGUUGGAUUGUUCACCCAUGCAAGGGAACGUGAUGAUGGGUUUAGACCGUCGUGAGACAGGUUAGUUUUACCCUAGUGG
This 1658-nucleotide ribosomal RNA is filed under the name Drosophila sechellia. RNAcentral's name for it is "Eukaryotic large subunit ribosomal RNA". It matches the Rfam family "Eukaryotic large subunit ribosomal RNA", at positions 1590 to 3000 of the family's 3401-position model. The record is from Rfam by way of RNAcentral. Lineage: Eukaryota; Metazoa; Arthropoda; Insecta; Diptera; Drosophilidae.